UACGUAGGGUGCGAGCGUUAAUCGGAAUUACUGGGCGUAAAGGGUGCGCAGGCGGCGUCGCAAGUCAGGCGUGAAAUCCCCGAGCUUAACUUGGGAAUUGCGCUCGAAACUACGUGGCUCGAGUGUGGCAGAGGAAGGUGGAAUUCCACGUGUAGCGGUGAAAUGCGUAGAGAUGUGGAGGAACACCGAUGGCGAAGGCAGCCUUCUGGGCCAACACUGACGCUCAUGCACGAAAGCGUGGGGAGCAAACAGG
RNAcentral lists this ribosomal RNA (253 nucleotides) under uncultured bacterium. Its description in RNAcentral is "partial 16S ribosomal RNA". It matches the Rfam family "Bacterial small subunit ribosomal RNA", at positions 524 to 776 of the family's 1533-position model. The record is from RNAcentral.